This 800-nucleotide ribosomal RNA is filed under the name Zobellia russellii. RNAcentral describes it as "bacterial SSU rRNA". It matches the Rfam family "Bacterial small subunit ribosomal RNA", at positions 381 to 1181 of the family's 1533-position model. Lineage: Bacteria; Pseudomonadati; Bacteroidota; Flavobacteriia; Flavobacteriales; Flavobacteriaceae. The record is from RNAcentral.
GCCUGAUCCAGCCAUGCCGCGUGCAGGAAGAAUGCCCUAUGGGUAGUAAACUGCUUUUAUACGGGAAGAAAAAGGGCUACGUGUAGCCCACUGACGGUACCGUAAGAAUAAGGACCGGCUAACUCCGUGCCAGCAGCCGCGGUAAUACGGAGGGUCCGAGCGUUAUCCGGAAUUAUUGGGUUUAAAGGGUCCGUAGGCGGGCCGAUAAGUCAGGGGUGAAAGUCUGCCGCUCAACGGUAGAAUUGCCUUUGAUACUGUCGGUCUUGAGUUAUGGUGAAGUUGGCGGAAUAUGUAGUGUAGCGGUGAAAUGCAUAGAUAUUACAUAGAACACCGAUUGCGAAGGCAGCUGACUAACCAUCGACUGACGCUGAUGGACGAAAGCGUGGGGAGCGAACAGGAUUAGAUACCCUGGUAGUCCACGCCGUAAACGAUGGAUACUAGCUGUCCGGGUCCUUGAGACCUGGGCGGCCAAGCGAAAGUGAUAAGUAUCCCACCUGGGGAGUACGUUCGCAAGAAUGAAACUCAAAGGAAUUGACGGGGGCCCGCACAAGCGGUGGAGCAUGUGGUUUAAUUCGAUGAUACGCGAGGAACCUUACCAGGGCUUAAAUGCAUAUUGACAGGGUCAGAGAUGACUUUUCCUUCGGGCAAUUUGCAAGGUGCUGCAUGGUUGUCGUCAGCUCGUGCCGUGAGGUGUCAGGUUAAGUCCUAUAACGAGCGCAACCCCUACCGUUAGUUGCCAGCGAGUCAUGUCGGGGACUCUAACGGGACUGCCGGUGCAAACCGUGAGGAAGGUGGGGACG